RNAcentral lists this ribosomal RNA (497 nucleotides) under uncultured bacterium. Its description in RNAcentral is "partial 16S ribosomal RNA". It matches the Rfam family "Bacterial small subunit ribosomal RNA", at positions 28 to 507 of the family's 1533-position model. The record is from RNAcentral.
GACGAACGCUGGCGGCGUGCCUAACACAUGCGAGUAGAACGCUGAAGAGAGGAGCUUGCUCUUCUUGGAUGAGUUGCGAACGGGUGAGUAACGCGUAGGUAACCUGCCUUGUAGCGGGGGAUAAUUAUUGGAAACGAUAGCUAAUACCGCAUAACAAUGGAUGACACAUGUCAUUUAUUUGAAAGGGGCAAUUGCUCCACUACAAGAUGGACUUGCGUUGUAUUAGCUAGUAGGUGAGGUAAUGGCUCACCUAGGCGGCGAAACAUAGCCGACCUGAGAGGGUGAUCGGCCACACUGGGACUGGGACACGGCCCAGACUCCUACGGGAGGCAGCAGGAGGGAAUCUUCGGCAAUGGGGGCAACCCUGACCGAGCAACGCCGCGUGAGUGAAGAAGGUUGUCGGGUCGUAAAGCUCUGUUGUAAGUCAAGAACGGGUGUGAGAGUGGAAAGUUCAGACUGUGACGGUAGCUUACCAAAAAGGGACGGCUAACUACGUG